AAUCCAUGUAAAUGGAAGUAAUCCGUGGAGACGUUUCUCUUUCUUCAGCAUCGAAUUUUAGUUUAUGUAAAAUAAAAUCUUUAUUUAAUUUUGUUAAUCAUAAAGUCAACUAUACGAUGGAAUAUGAUUAUAUGUAUUAAGUAUAUGAGGGCUGGUAAAGUACUGAACCAUUACUAUCACCAGACUACACUACUAUCAGGAAAGACGCCAAUUUAAUUUCAAUAAAACAUACAUAUAGAUCGAUAUUUCUGGUAUAAAGGCAGCCAUCGACAUUGUUUACAUGCUGCUCUAUGCUUUUUCUUGACAUAUGUAUAUAAAGAAUUACCUCACAAGAUGGCGGCAUAGUGUAAUUGUUUUUGUAACAUUUGUCACAGACAAACCGAAAAUAGUAAAGGUAAAUUCUAGCCGUAACCUUAUAUACUAUCAUUCUUGGUAUUAUGGUUUUGAACUCUGUGCCAUUGCGGUUGACUAGAAUAUCAAAGACGCACAACUGCUACCAAGCGUUUGUGAAAGAACAUUGUGUUUAUUUAGAAAAAAUAUUGACAUAAAGUAGAAAAUGGAUAAAUAAACUAUUUCAUAUAUAA
Molecule: long non-coding RNA, 584 nt
Organism: Bactrocera tryoni
Lineage: Eukaryota; Metazoa; Arthropoda; Insecta; Diptera; Tephritidae
Exons: 2
Source: RefSeq, a predicted model, not a curated record